AAACUUUCAACAACGG
RNAcentral lists this ribosomal RNA (16 nucleotides) under Candida dubliniensis. Its description in RNAcentral is "partial 5.8S ribosomal RNA". The record is from RNAcentral. Lineage: Eukaryota; Fungi; Ascomycota; Pichiomycetes; Serinales; Debaryomycetaceae.